This 492-nucleotide ribosomal RNA is filed under the name uncultured bacterium. Its description in RNAcentral is "partial 16S ribosomal RNA". It matches the Rfam family "Bacterial small subunit ribosomal RNA", at positions 43 to 523 of the family's 1533-position model. The record is from RNAcentral.
CAUGCCUUACACAUGCAAGUCGAACGGCAGCGGGGGAGAAGCUUGCUUUUCCUGCCGGCGAGUGGCGAACGGGUGAGUAAUACAUCGGAACGUGCCCUGUAGUGGGGGAUAACUAGUCGAAAGAUUAGCUAAUACCGCAUACGAUCUGAGGAUGAAAGCGGGGGACCGUAAGGCCUCGUGCGAUCGGAGCGGCCGAUGUCAGAUUAGGUAGUUGGUGGGGUAAAGGCUCACCAAGCCGACGAUCUGUAGCUGGUCUGAGAGGACGACCAGCACACUGGGACUGAGACACGGCCCAGACUCCUACGGGAGGCAGCAGUGGGGAAUUUUGGACAAUGGGCGCAAGCCUGAUCCAGCAAUGCCGCGUGCAGGAAGAAGGCCUUCGGGUUGUAAACUGCUUUUGUACGGAGCGAAAAGGCUCUCUCUAAUACAGGGGGCUCAUGACGGUACCGUAAGAAUAAGCACCGGCUAACUACGUGCCAGCAGCCGCCGUAA